Long non-coding RNA from Syzygium oleosum, 525 nucleotides. RefSeq lists it as uncharacterized. Lineage: Eukaryota; Viridiplantae; Streptophyta; Magnoliopsida; Myrtales; Myrtaceae. The transcript is spliced from 3 exons. The record is from RefSeq and is a predicted model, not a curated record.
GGAUCAGGUUGUGGUUGGGAGGAAGAGGACUCAGAUGCUCACCAAUGAGGCUGGUCAAGUCACCAGUCAUCUGCAAGGCAUGCAUUACCGAACGAUUAGGCUGUUGGAAGCAGGGAUACAGCCAGUCUACGUAUUUGAUGGUAAACCUCCUGAUUUGAAGAAGCAAGAGCUCGCACAAUGGUACUUUAUUAUUAUGUAGCCUUCUCUUCUCUCGUUUUUUUUUUAAUUGUCUAUGAAUACGUUUAGUUACCUUAAAUGUGAAGGUUUGUCUUUGUUUUGAUCACUUCCUUACUGUGCGAUAUUUUAGUUCUAUUCGAUGAGAAGUUUGAUGUUGUCUCUGUUUUCCAGAAAAACCUAUCUAUGUAGCUAACCAGAUAUGUGUGCGCAUGUGGUACAUGGCUUUGAUACCAUUGCAGGUGACACAACAGCACAAUGAAGACUGCAAAAAACUAUUGAGACUUAUGGGUAUCCCAGUAGUUGAGGUUACUAUUCUGUCUGAGAAGUUCAUUCUUCUUUAUUCGUAAC